GACAUAGGGUGCAAACGUUGUUCGGAUUUACUGGGCGUAAAGCGCGCGUAGGCGGCCUCAUAAGUCCGUUGUGAAAGUCAAAGGCUCAACCUUUGAAAGCCGAUGGAUACUGUGAGGCUAGAGUCCGGAAGAGGCGAGUGGAAUUCCUGGUGUAGCGGUGGAAUGCGCAGAUAUCAGGAGGAACACCAAUAGCGAAGGCAGCUCGCUGGGACGGUACUGACGCUAAGGCGCGAAGGCGUGGGGAGCGAACAGG
This 253-nucleotide ribosomal RNA is filed under the name uncultured bacterium. RNAcentral describes it as "partial 16S ribosomal RNA". It matches the Rfam family "Bacterial small subunit ribosomal RNA", at positions 524 to 776 of the family's 1533-position model. The record is from RNAcentral.